AACGAACGCUGGCGGCAGGCUUAACACAUGCAAGUCGAACGCCCCGCAAGGGGAGUGGCAGACGGGUGAGUAACGCGUGGGAACGUGCCCUUCGCUUCGGAAUAGCCCCGGGAAACUGGGAGUAAUACCGGAUACGCCGUAUUGGGAAAGAUUUAUCGGCGAAGGAUCGGCCCGCGUUAGAUUAGCUAGUUGGCGGUGUAAUGGACCACCAAGGCUACGAUCUAUAGCUGGUCUGAGAGGAUGAUCAGCCACACUGGGACUGAGACACGGCCCAGACUCCUACGGGAGGCAGCAGUGGGGAAUAUUGGACAAUGGGCGAAAGCCUGAUCCAGCAAUGCCGCGUGAGUGAUGAAGGCCUUAGGGUUGUAAAGCUCUUUUACCCGUAGAUGAUAAUGACAGUAUCGGGAGAAUAAGCUCCGGCUAACUCCGUGCCAGCAGCCGCGGUAAU
Molecule: ribosomal RNA, 448 nt
Filed under: uncultured bacterium
Lineage: Bacteria
Description: bacterial SSU rRNA
Rfam family: Bacterial small subunit ribosomal RNA
Source: RNAcentral